Molecule: small RNA, 107 nt
Filed under: Marmota monax (woodchuck)
Lineage: Eukaryota; Metazoa; Chordata; Mammalia; Rodentia; Sciuridae
Source: RNAcentral
GUGGGGUGUGGUGGUGCACACCUGUAAUUCUAGCAACUUGGGAAGCUGAGGCAGAAGGAUCACAAGUUCACGGCCAGCCUCGGCAACUUAGUGAUACCCUGUCUCAA